GAUGAACGCUGACAGAAUGCUUAACACAUGCAAGUCGAUGGGGAAGUGGUGCUUGCCCCAUGGCCACCAUGGCGGACGGGUGAGUAACGCGUAAGGGACUUACCUGCAGGACUGGGAUAACAGGGGGAAACUCCUGACAAGACCGGAUAAUGUCAUGGAGCUGCAUGGCUUUAUGAUGAAAGGAGACGCCUGCGGAGAGCCUUGCGUCCUAUUAGUUAGUUGGUGAGGUAAUGGCUCACCAAGGCGAAGAUAGGUAGCCGGCCUGAGAGGGUGGACGGCCACAAGGGGACUGAGAUACGGCGCUUACUCCUACGGGAGGCAGCAGUGGGGAAUAUUGGACAAUGGGGGCAACCCUGAUGCAGCAAUUCUGUGUGCACGAAGAAGGUUUUCGGAUUGUAAAGUGCUUUCAGAAGGGAAGAAGUAAGUGACGGUACCUGCAGAAGAAGCGACGGCUAAAUACGUG
This 463-nucleotide ribosomal RNA is filed under the name uncultured bacterium. RNAcentral's name for it is "partial 16S ribosomal RNA". It matches the Rfam family "Bacterial small subunit ribosomal RNA", at positions 28 to 507 of the family's 1533-position model. The record is from RNAcentral.